Molecule: ribosomal RNA, 253 nt
Filed under: uncultured Oscillospiraceae bacterium
Lineage: Bacteria; Bacillati; Bacillota; Clostridia; Eubacteriales; Oscillospiraceae
Description: partial 16S ribosomal RNA
Rfam family: Bacterial small subunit ribosomal RNA
Source: RNAcentral
UACGGAGGUGGCAAGCGUUGUCCGGAUUUACUGGGUGUAAAGGGCGUGUAGCCGGGCCGGCAAGUCAGAUGUGAAAUCCCAAGGCUCAACCUUGGAACUGCAUUUGAAACUGUUGGUCUUGAGUAUCGGAGAGGCAGGCGGAAUUCCUAGUGUAGCGGUGAAAUGCGUAGAUAUUAGGAGGAACACCAGUGGCGAAGGCGGCUGUCUGGUCUGCAACUGACGCUGAGGCUCGAAAGCAUGGGUAGCGAACAGG